Molecule: ribosomal RNA, 253 nt
Filed under: uncultured bacterium
Lineage: Bacteria
Description: partial 16S ribosomal RNA
Rfam family: Bacterial small subunit ribosomal RNA
Source: RNAcentral
UACGAAGGGUGCAAGCGUUACUCGGAAUUACUGGGCGUAAAGCGUGCGUAGGUGGUUCGUUAAGUCUGUCGUGAAAGCCCCGGGCUCAACCUGGGAAUGGCGAUGGAUACUGGCGAGCUAGAGUGCGGUAGAGGAGAGUGGAAUUCCCGGUGUAGCAGUGAAAUGCGUAGAGAUCGGGAGGAACAUCAGUGGCGAAGGCGGUCUGCUGGGCCGUUGCUGACGCUGAGGCGCGACAGCGUGGGGAGCAAACAGG